GAUGAACGCUGGCGGCGUGCCUAAUACAUGCAAGUCGAGCGAACAGACGAGGAGCUUGCUCCUCUGACGUUAGCGGCGGACGGGUGAGUAACACGUGGAUAACCUACCUAUAAGACUGGGAUAACUUCGGGAAACCGGAGCUAAUACCGGAUAAUAUAUUGAACCGCAUGGUUCAAUAGUGAAAUACGGUUUUGCUGUCACUUAUAGAUGGAUCCGCGCCGCAUUAGCUAGUUGGUAAGGUAACGGCUUACCAAGGCAACGAUGCGUAGCCGACCUGAGAGGGUGAUCGGCCACACUGGAACUGAGACACGGUCCAGAGUCCUACGGGAGGCAGCCGUAGGGAAUCUUCCGCAAUGGGCGAAGGCCUGACGGAGCAACGCCGCGUGAGUGAUGAAGGUCUUCGGAUCGUAAAACUCUGUUAUUAGGGAAGAACAAAUGUGUAAGUAACUAUGCACGUCUUGACGGUACCUAAUCAGAAAGCCACGGCUAACUACGUG
Molecule: ribosomal RNA, 497 nt
Filed under: uncultured bacterium
Lineage: Bacteria
Description: partial 16S ribosomal RNA
Rfam family: Bacterial small subunit ribosomal RNA
Source: RNAcentral